This is a long non-coding RNA of Dreissena polymorpha, 321 nucleotides long. RefSeq lists it as uncharacterized. The transcript is spliced from 3 exons. NCBI's taxonomy places the organism in Eukaryota, Metazoa, Mollusca, Bivalvia, Myida, Dreissenidae. The record is from RefSeq and is a predicted model, not a curated record.
GUUUAAUAGACUCGUGUUUUGUACAUAACGUACUUAUCAUUCACAUAUAUUUCGCGUGUAUAAGUGGUUUUUUUUUUAAAUCCAGUUUCGUUGACGACGACAUGACCAGAACUGUUUGUACAUUAACAAAUAUCGCCCUGUGGAAUCAAGCGGGCACCUCCCCGAUGUGUUCAAACGUUCAAAAAUACAGAACAUCAAAAAGACAAAAUGGAGGGCUGAGCCUUUCGCAGAGUUGUAUGUGAGAGCAAGGAACGACAACUCUGCGUGGAGAUUGGUGGGGUCGGCGUGUAUUUGGCUGCCUGAGCGCUGAUUGGCUGAUGC